Molecule: transfer RNA, 59 nt
Filed under: Cricetulus griseus (Chinese hamster)
Lineage: Eukaryota; Metazoa; Chordata; Mammalia; Rodentia; Cricetidae
Rfam family: tRNA
About the family: Transfer RNA (tRNA) molecules are approximately 80 nucleotides in length. Their secondary structure includes four short double-helical elements and three loops (D, anti-codon, and T loops). Further hydrogen bonds mediate the characteristic L-shaped molecular structure. tRNAs have two regions of fundamental functional importance: the anti-codon, which is responsible for specific mRNA codon recognition, and the 3' end, to which the tRNAs corresponding amino acid is attached (by aminoacyl-tRNA synthetases). tRNAs cope with the degeneracy of the genetic code in two manners: having more than one tRNA (with a specific anti-codon) for a particular amino acid; and 'wobble' base-pairing, i.e. permitting non-standard base-pairing at the 3rd anti-codon position.
Source: Rfam by way of RNAcentral
UGGCUCAGAGGUUAAGAGUACUGGAUUGUUCUUCCAGAGGUCCUGAGUUCAAUUCCCAG